RNAcentral lists this ribosomal RNA (253 nucleotides) under uncultured bacterium. RNAcentral describes it as "partial 16S ribosomal RNA". It matches the Rfam family "Bacterial small subunit ribosomal RNA", at positions 524 to 776 of the family's 1533-position model. The record is from RNAcentral.
UACAGAGGUCUCAAGCGUUGUUCGGAUUCAUUGGGCGUAAAGGGUGCGUAGGCGGCGCGGUAAGUCGGCUGUGAAAUCUCGGAGCUUAACUCCGAAACUGCAUUCGAUACUGCCGUGCUUGAGGACUGGAGAGGAGACUGGAAUUUACGGUGUAGCGGUGAAAUGCGUAGAUAUCGUAAGGAAGACCAGUGGCGAAGGCGGGUCUCUGGGCAUCUCCUGACGCUGAGGCGCGAAAGCGUGGGGAGCAAACGGG